This 24-nucleotide ribosomal RNA is filed under the name Porphyra rediviva. RNAcentral's name for it is "partial 5.8S ribosomal RNA". Lineage: Eukaryota; Rhodophyta; Bangiophyceae; Bangiales; Bangiaceae. The record is from RNAcentral.
UAUACAACUCUUAACGGUGGGAUA